This 233-nucleotide ribosomal RNA is filed under the name uncultured bacterium. RNAcentral describes it as "partial 16S ribosomal RNA". It matches the Rfam family "Bacterial small subunit ribosomal RNA", at positions 100 to 334 of the family's 1533-position model. The record is from RNAcentral.
CGGGACGGGUGAGUAAUGCUUGGGAAUCUAGCUUAUGAGGGGGGAUAACUACGGGAAACUGUAGCUAAUACCGCGUAGAAUCGGGAGAUGAAAGUGUGGGACCUUCGGGCCACAUGCCAUAGGGUGAGCCCAAGUGGGAUUAGGUAGUUGGUGAGGUAAAGGCUCACCAAGCCGACGAUCUCUAGCUGGUCUGAGAGGAUGACCAGCCACACUGGGACUGAGACACGGCCCAG